AGCUCCAGGUUGUAUCACAGAUUCGAACACAGACAUGAGAGCCGUAGGUUAGCCCCAACAAUUUGGUGUACCAAUGCAGGACCUGGGAAUUGCAGAAGACACUGGAAGAAACACUGCUGGUAUGGAGCUCCACAGACAGGCUCUGGAGAGUUUAUGUACAAGAGAGCAUGAGAAGGCCUGGAUUAGCUACUGCCCCUCCUGCUCCUCUCCCUGCUGCUGCAGCUGCUGCUUCCUGUCAUCACUGUUUGUCAAGUGAAUGUGAGCAAAGA
RNAcentral lists this long non-coding RNA (269 nucleotides) under Mus musculus (house mouse). Its description in RNAcentral is "predicted gene, 47001". The record is from RNAcentral. Lineage: Eukaryota; Metazoa; Chordata; Mammalia; Rodentia; Muridae.